AGACUUUAGCAGAACUCAACCUUCUUGCGGAGAAUUGGAAGUAUAUUCUUGCCAACUUAAUUUUUCAGGAUCCAUCUUUCGAAAAAAGACAGUUCUUGAAUGAUAUACACAUUCUAUCAUAUUUCAAACUAUUGUUAAACAGAUAUUACAUUUAAAUUUUGUUGGUUCAAUUUUUUCACCUUUAGUUGUUCACCAUUUUAUUUUUUUCAAUAAUAUCAGCACCGUGCGUAGCACGGGUAUUCACAC
Non-coding RNA from Coffea arabica (coffee), 246 nucleotides. The record is from RefSeq and is a predicted model, not a curated record. Lineage: Eukaryota; Viridiplantae; Streptophyta; Magnoliopsida; Gentianales; Rubiaceae.